UUUUCACACUUAACAUUUUUGCUAAGUUAACCAAGUGAUAACAGUGCAUAUACUACUACGUACACACUUCACUUUUAAUUUAUUCCCAAAUUCACUUUUAACCUAAGAUAACCAUGGCGAUCGCGAUGAAGCAAGCCGCCGUCGUACCCAUCAGCAAGCCGUCGCACCAAGUUCAUCACUGCAGAUCGAUCGCCGUCGCACCACCCAGCUCGAUCGCCAUCGCACCAAUGUUCAUCUAACCCUCACACCCAGCCCUUCAUCUAACCAUCACACCCAGCCCUCUCUCUGUCGCAUCCAACCCUCGCACCAUCAAUGGUCUCUCGCAAACGAUCGCAAACCCUCGUAAACCCAACCCUCUGUCUCUGUCUUUGUCUCAAUGGUCUCUCCCUCAAUCGGUCUCUCGGCGUGCCCAGGCAUCGGUGUGGCCUCCUACUCGCAAACCCUUGCAAACCCUCGCAAACGCAACCCUCUGUCUCUGUCUCUGUCUCUGUCUCUGUCUCUGUUUCAGUGGUCUCUUCCUUAAUCGGCACCGUAAACACACUGGAUCCUCAUAUUCAUAUUAUACAUACCAAGGUCACGAGAUCUUUACAAAGAUUCUGAGGAAUUGAAGAAGAAAAAGAAUCUAACCCUGGAGCACUAUACAAACUACAAAGCCUCAAAUCUUGAAACUGUUGUUCUUGCACUUGUAGAUUUGCAGCUCAACACCAAAGCCAGUUCCCUGAAUGCUAUACGUGAAAAGUAUAAACAACAUAAGGUAAAAAUUUGGUGUUUACUAUCUUCACUAAUAAAAGUAAUAUCCUAAAUUAGUUUUCAAAGGAAUAUUUUAUCGGAUAUCUUAAUUUUUAUUAAAUUUUAAUUAUUAAAUUAGUCUUUGAAUUUCUCUAGGUUAUAUUGCUUACUACCUGAAUGGACUAAUUUGAGAAUUUAAAAAUUUUUAAGGAAUUUUAUUAAAUAACGUAUAAAGUUAUAAAAAAAAUUAUAUAAAGAUUUUUAUAAAAUCUUUAGCAAAAUUUAACACGUAAAUGAUCUGUGUAACAAAAUGUUAAAAUAAAACAUUGAGGCUAAUUUUCGUAAUUAAAAUUUGUUUGGUAUGGAAGUGUUUGACUGAAUAUUCUAUAUGAACUAAUUUGGGUAUUCCUAUUUAAUAACUAAAUUGGUGAAUUAAUCGACAUAUAAAUGCUUAUAAUAUUAGAGUUCGUUAUGGCUAUUAUAGUCCAUGAAAAUGAGUAUUAUACAGCGCAUUGUGCUCAACCCUCACCUUAAACACUACAAGGUAAGUAUUUUUUCUGUCUGUUUCCCUGUUCAUGUGAUAAGGGCCAUUAUUUUGGAAACUUAGGUAUUAAUGGUGUGUUGUGUUACUCUGUUUCUCUGUUCUUGUGAUAAGGGCCAUGAAUGAAUCUGAUUCGUUUUUGUAUGUUUAGUAAAUGACUGUGAUUAUGGGACUUGCAAAGGUGGGGAAAUCUACACUGUUAUGUGCCAGUUCAGGUCUUAAAAUAACUUCCUUUGUCCUUGCUCAAUAAUAAAUAUAUUUGUAUGAUUUAAGCUAAAUUGGAAAUUAUGAAUUUUUUUUUCUUUCGGGUAAUUUGCAUCCUUCAACCAAGACCUCUGGUGAAGUGUUUGUGAAGGGAACAAAAUCACACUUGUCUUAUGGAUUGUAUGUUUUUUCACUGGCUGUGAUUUCUGUUUAACAUUCAAAUUGAGGUUAAUCUGCUUAGUUAUAAUAAAUUUAUGCUCAAAUAGAUUUGUAUUAACUUUUCUGACAUAUGAACCAGUGUUAUGGUUUUGUGUCCCGAAAUCAAUGCCUGCUAUGUUGAGCAAAUUGAUGGCAUUCCUAAGUUACAAGGUGGUGUCUCCUCUUAUGGAAAAAUGGUUAGUAAGAGUAGCAUUCUUUCUUUAUUACUUUUAUGAGAAUUGAUUUAUCUUCUUAAUAGAUCCUCCUAAUUGUUUCUCUUAAUCUGAGGCAAAAUACUCUUUCAUUCAGUACCUCUUGACAAGAUUGAGUAAGGUUUAGAUGUUGCUUUCCAAUUCAAAUUUCAUUCUUUUUCCAAUUAAAAUCUCCUUAUUAGCCAUAUGUAGCCUGCAAACAUAACUUGUAACUGUGUCUUCUCCUCCCAGUUUGAUGAUGGGCUUGGUUUCGACAUUCCAGCGGCAUCAUACUCUGAAUCAUAGAUCCAAGGUUUGCUUGCUGCGUUAUUGGCUGUUGAUUAUUCAGUGGAUUCGAUUCGUUGAUGUGCAAAAGAAGGCAGCAGCAGCAGCUAAGAGAGGAGGCAAGGCGGCUGCUUUGUUGAAAUAAUUAUGUAGGUGUGAAACAUGAAGCAUUCAUGCUUGGAGCUUCCAAGGGCAAGCACACGAACAAAGGAUUUGAUCUUUUCAUUACCACUUCACCAAUACUAGAUCUGAAUGAGAAUCUUAUUGUGUUGGGGCGAGUUGUCAAGGGAAAUUAAGGAUGUUCGGGUGACUAAAUUUGCUUCUCGUUGUUAUGUCUGUGUCCUUUUUGUUGAUCCAUAUCCUUUCCCAUUUAGUUAAGGUUUUCUACACAUAUUAUCAUGUCUGAGAAGUUAAUGAUUAUCAUUUUUAUCGCUAAAUUUAAACAAAUAAUUAACUUCAAAUGAGUUGUUCACUGCAUAUAUUUGUUUUAAAAUUUCAUUUCAUCACCAUCUGAAUAGAUAAGUUCAUAUUCUGACUUGAUGAUGUAUUUUGGAAUGAAAUUACAUCAAAGCAAUUUCAAUAUUAGUUAUUUCA
Molecule: long non-coding RNA, 2742 nt
Organism: Arachis stenosperma
Lineage: Eukaryota; Viridiplantae; Streptophyta; Magnoliopsida; Fabales; Fabaceae
Exons: 4
Source: RefSeq, a predicted model, not a curated record